Molecule: ribosomal RNA, 439 nt
Filed under: uncultured bacterium
Lineage: Bacteria
Description: bacterial SSU rRNA
Rfam family: Bacterial small subunit ribosomal RNA
Source: RNAcentral
ACGGAAUAGAUACCCUGGUAGUCCACGCCGUAAACGAUGGAUGCUAGCCGUUAGGCAGCUUGCUGCUUAGUGGCGCAGCUAACGCUUUAAGCAUCCCGCCUGGGGAGUACGGUCGCAAGAUUAAAACUCAAAGGAAUUGACGGGGGCCCGGCACAAGCGGUGGAGCAUGUGGUUUAACUUCGAAGCAACGCGCAGAACCUUACCAGCUUUUGUACAUGCCUUGGACGGAUAGCAGAGAUGCUUUCUUCUCUUCGGAGCCAGGGACACAGGUGCUGCAUGGCUGUCGUCAGCUCGUGUCGUGAGAUGUUGGGUUAAGUCCCGCAACGAGCGCAACCCUCGCCUUAGUUGCCAUCAUUCAGUUGGGUCACUCUAGGGGGUACUGCCGGUGAUAAGCCGCGAGGAAGGUGGGGAUGACGUCAAGUCCUCAUGGCCCUUACAA